This 274-nucleotide ribosomal RNA is filed under the name uncultured bacterium. Its description in RNAcentral is "partial 16S ribosomal RNA". It matches the Rfam family "Bacterial small subunit ribosomal RNA", at positions 523 to 796 of the family's 1533-position model. The record is from RNAcentral.
AUACGGAGGGGGUUAGCGUUGUUCGGAAUUACUGGGCGUAAAGCGCACGUAGGCGGACUGGAAAGUUGGGGGUGAAAUCCCGGGGCUCAACCUCGGAACUGCCUCCAAAACUUCCAAUCUAGAGAUCGAGAGAGGUGAGUGGAAUUCCAAGUGUAGAGGUGAAAUUCGUAGAUAUUUGGAGGAACACCAGUGGCGAAGGCGGCUCACUGGCUCGAUACUGACGCUGAGGUGCGAAAGCGUGGGGAGCAAACAGGAUUAGAAACCCCGGUAGUCC